Molecule: long non-coding RNA, 800 nt
Organism: Oxyura jamaicensis (ruddy duck)
Lineage: Eukaryota; Metazoa; Chordata; Aves; Anseriformes; Anatidae
Exons: 3
Source: RefSeq, a predicted model, not a curated record
GUGAUUCAGCAAUGCUCUUUCCUCCAAAGCAUUAGGUAUUGACUAUGAACUAUACGGUCUGCCUUACUGAACAGAAUCUUCACUAACUCUUCCUGAGAGAGAAUGCAUUUUUACUCUGCUAAAUGACAUGUGGAGUUCUGAAUGCUUAUUGAAUCCUGCAAUAUUAAAUGGCUGCUUUUUCUGCUGGCAUACAGUCUUGGAAUUUGAAGAUCUAGAAGGGUGCAUGGAAACUGAAGAGCACUCAGAAGAAAGCAGCAAGAAUAAUAAAUGAGUUAGAAAACCUGAGAAAAAACAUUGAAGCAUUUCUGUUAAUUUCAUCUACAAAAGAAACAUUAGUGCAGGAAGGAGCAAGAGAGGAAGAAAUUACAAAGAAAUAUUGUCAUGCUGUGACAGCUGGAUACCUCUGUAGGAGCUAUGGCAUCCCAAUGGAAGAAACAAUGAAGAUCUUACGCUAGAGGAUAUUUGUCUCCUACAUUACCUAUAUGCUUCCAAUUUGAAAGUUUAGAUGAAUUCCUGGAGAAAGUAAUACUUGGAGAAAAUAAUAUUUUAGCAUGAAUCAGAAUGACUUUCUUCUUUUUGCACCUGACAAAGAAUUUGAAAUAAUGAAACAAUGAAGGUUCAGGAUAAAGUAGAUGUCCUGCUGUGCAAGAUACAUACUGUAGCAAUUGUUCCGUCAUUUGCAAUGUUACCUUUGCUGACUGCCCUGUGGUUUGCUGGAAGGAGUAUAAAGAAUUGUUUCAAUCCUAUGGGAUCCUAACAGGCACCAUCACCACAAUACAAAUAAAAAUGAUUAUAUAUAA